This 516-nucleotide ribosomal RNA is filed under the name uncultured archaeon. RNAcentral describes it as "bacterial SSU rRNA". It matches the Rfam family "Archaeal small subunit ribosomal RNA", at positions 93 to 592 of the family's 1478-position model. The record is from RNAcentral.
GUAACACGUAGUCAACCUGCCCUGGAGACCUGAACAACCCCGGGAAACUGGGAUUAAUGCGGGAUAGGUCAUCUCAUCUGGAAGGAGAGAUGGCUCAAAGGGGUGCGCGGGCUUCUUCCGCGUAUUCGCUCCAGGAUGGGACUGCGACCGAUCAGGCUGUUGGCGAGGUAAUGGCUCACCAAACCUGUAACCGGUACGGGCCUUGAGAGAGGGGGCCCGGAGAUGGACACUGAGAGAAGGGUCCAGGUCCUACGGGGCGCAGCAGGCGCGAAACCUUCGCAAUGCGCGCAAGCGUGACGAGGUUAAUCCGAGUGAUCCCCGCUGAGGAGAUCUUUUGUCUGCUGUAAAUAGGCCGGCGAAUAAGGGGAGGGCAAGCCUGGUGUCAGCCGCCGCGGUAAUACCAGCUCCUCGAGUGGUCGGGGCGAUUAUUGGGCCUAAAGCAUCCGUAGCCGGUUCCGUAGGUCUUCUGUCAAAUCCAACCGCUCAACCGUUGACCUGCAGAGGAUACCGCGAGAC